GUGCUCUCAUUGGUAGCACAUACACUAAAACUGAACAAUCCAGAGAUUACAUGGGCCUUGGGGGAGAAUGACACACAAAUUCAGGAAGUGUUCCAUAUUUUU
This is a small nuclear RNA of Cricetulus griseus (Chinese hamster), 102 nucleotides long. NCBI's taxonomy places the organism in Eukaryota, Metazoa, Chordata, Mammalia, Rodentia, Cricetidae. The record is from Ensembl.